RNAcentral lists this long non-coding RNA (3091 nucleotides) under Gallus gallus (chicken). RNAcentral describes it as "lncRNA (ENSGALG00010027768.1)". The record is from RNAcentral. Lineage: Eukaryota; Metazoa; Chordata; Aves; Galliformes; Phasianidae.
UGGCUUGAAGAAAUUCCAGCAAUUUUUAUUGAUUUCAGCUUUUCCAAUGAAGCAAAUACAUACAGUACAGCCAAAACACAACUCUGAUACAUUAUUCUCACAUACCUAUAUCUUACAGAAUACACUGUAUAGCUAUGGACUGGCAGGCUCGGGUGGUCUCAAACUGCUGUGUGGUCAGAGAGGAAUAAAACUGCCUUCUGCCUUCCACGCAGUCCAUGAGGCUUCUGAAAUGCUGGGGUGGGUUGGAUUGUACAUACAUGAAACAAACAAAGCAUUUAAGAGGAAACAGGCCAAAAAGCUCUGCUAAGCCCAGGACAAACAAGUGUGGUAUUUAUUUACAUGGCUGUGUGUCCUGCGCACAAAUCAAGCCCCAAUUGCUCUUAUUCUGCUGCUGGCAGAGAUCAGGGUGCUGCUCGCUGUGGUCCUUCCCUCCUCAGUAGUUCUCCAUCACUCCAACCCACGUCCUGCAGACCUGCCCCAGCUGUAGCCCUGCAGAUCCGCCCUGCCUUGCCUUUUACACAGGGGAAAAACAGGAGAACAGCUCAGCAAGGAGCACGUUGCAGCUGAAGACAUGCCUCUAUGAAGCAGUGCCUCCCUGGAAGGAAGAACACCAGUGGAAAAAGGUGAGAGCAGCAUCCCGGUGCUGAGCUCUGCCCCCGGGAGAAGUGUGGUUUGGAAAAGAAGGUCCCCAGACUGCUGGGUAUGAGCAACACCAGAGGUUUUCCUUACACUGCCAGACAUCAGCGUCACUUCACCUACGUGGGUAGAGUCUGUAGUCCAGAUUUAACACAGAGAGACUGAGAGGGAAAUAGAGAGGAGUAUCAGAGAGUUUCCUUGGGGGGAAAAAAGAGUUGCAAAGAGCCCAGGGGUGUCAGCGGGGCGGCAGCUCAGCCCGGCUCUCCUACAUUAGCUGUAUUCUGAGGUAUGAGAGCAGCAACCUGCAGCAUUGUAGGGAAAUUGAGGCUGGAGGGAGCUCCCAGCUCAGGGCAGGGAAAGCAUCCAGGGCUGUGCACAGCCAACAGCUGAAGAUCAACUUCGCUGCAGGAGAGUUGGACCAGAAGACCUUCAAAGGCCCUUUCAGCUGCAAUAAUUCCAUGAUUCCAUAUGAGAUCUCCAAGGAUGGAGACAGGUUUUAUUUGUGUCGCCUGGUCGGCUUUGCUGUACAUCACUAACACUGAUGGGAAUGAUGCAUCCAACCUCUGAGCUCAGUGCUUUGUAACAAAACCUGCAAUACUUGUAAACUUAAUAGUGGGAUGAUGACUGCAGCUCCUGGUGCCCAACACAGCACUGCUGUGAAUUGCAUUACGGGUGAAAGCAGCGGCGCUGUCUUAAAAUAAAGCUCAAACAACAGCCAAUUAGAAUGAAUUUCCUCCAUAUUCCAUCAUUACAUUUUGCAGUUAGCUUUCCCAAUUAAUUUCACAGGGAAAAACGUUAGCUCCCAGGACUUCUGCCUACUGUGUAAUUACAGGAACUAAUCUGAAUGCAAAACUGCACGCAACGUAAUUCUAAAGCAAAACUGCAACAGCCCUUCCUGCGGACACUGCAGCCUUUCUGGAUGCCCAUAGACUUGAGUCCUGCCAAAAACAUUCUGAACCAUGAAAUGAGGACGUAUGAGGCUAUGCAACAGCUGGCAGCCGUGGUGAGGGCAUGCCCACAGGCCUGGGCUCCUCCGCUGCUGUUUAAAUGCUCCUGAAACUGCCCUACCGGAUUCGCCUGGUUCCAGCUCUCCACUUCAAAGGUGCUUUUUGCUCUUUCAUUUGGCUGGGAGCUGCGCACAGAAAGCUCUCGACUGAAUGUGGGUGAAUGCAAGCAAAUAGCUGCUGCUCAUUAAAGUGCACAAGGCUGAGCCACCCUUUGUAGACCAAGAGAAAAGCGGCCGGCACCCCUCUCGCUCUGCUCCAUGCGCUCUGAGCAGGGAUGAUGCUACCCAGAGCAGAGCUGGGGUCAGGCCUGCCAGGUCAAUGGGACGUGCCAGCUGUCACCAAGCGAGGAGCUGAACCCUGCAAACAUGAGACUGCUUCUCCCUGCCCAGACCCAUCUCAGUAACCCACCCUUCCCAAACACCUCCACAUCUGCACACCUCUGUGCCCCCACAACGCAUCCUCUGCUGAUCCUCCCCCUGCAGCUCCGAGCUCACAUUUCUCACAUGCUAUUCCAUCUUCGCUAUUUCUUUACGUUGCUUGGCACAAACAAAGCGUGAUGACAAAGGCCAAAUUUCUCCACGCACCGUCCCAUGAUUGCAUUGUUUCAGUGCCCGGUGACUGAUUUGGCACCUGGUAAGACCACGCUCUGUGUUAGCACUGUCCAUACAGCUUCAGAGAGCAGUUGCUGAGUGCCAGGGGGGAAUCAGCAGCCAACCAUUUGCUUCUGGAGAUAAAGAGUUCAGGUGACAGGAAAGGAGAUACUAAUAACUAUGAGAGCUCAUAGGAGAAAAAGAAUCAGAAGCAGGAAAGAAGCCCAUGUUCAUAAAUGUUAGGAAGAAGCAGCCUUGGUAAAGAAGAGCAUCGUGUGUAUCUGUUGAUAACAGCCAUAUGCAACGUGGGGACAACAUCAAACUGGCAACUUUGGCACUUGUGGGUGAAAAUAGGUUGUGACAGGAAUUUGGCGUGGCAGCAUUUGUUGCGUGGAUCGGGUGGGAUCUGUCGGCUGAAGCUGCACAGCUGACACCGAGUUGUGGUGGGGCCUCAGCCCUACCCGCCAGCUGUGCGCUGGCCGCGCACACACAGCAAUGCGGGCACGGUUACACAGACACACUCUUUGCAAAAAAAAAAACAUAAUAAAAAUAUUGACAUCAGGAAAAUAUAACCUCGAUAAAAGUCCCUUCUCCCCCCUCCCCUAAAAAGAAGAAAAUGCUUAAAAAUAUCAGUAUGAUCCACAUGAAAUCCAUAUGUUUGGCUUGCUUUACAGUUGAGUUUAACUCACGAACACUCUACAUCUUUAACAUCCUAAGUAACUGUGAACGGGUUGUGUUCCUGGAGAUGAACCAGUUCCAAACUCUGAAAAACAAAGAGAUACCCAUUCAAGCACUGAAGAUAUCGUUUCUUUUCAUUCAUGCUCAACUUUCAGCCUUCCCCCAUCCCCAGUUUCUGUC